This is a long non-coding RNA of Ylistrum balloti, 249 nucleotides long. RefSeq lists it as uncharacterized. NCBI's taxonomy places the organism in Eukaryota, Metazoa, Mollusca, Bivalvia, Pectinida, Pectinidae. The transcript has 3 exons. The record is from RefSeq and is a predicted model, not a curated record.
UCCGAGUUUAAAAGAGUCGUUGUCUAUAGUCAGUCACAUUUAACCAUGUCAUUAAUCAAGGGAUUAUACACCAUUAUGAUUGUUUUGCACAGAGUCUGUUUAGUCGGUCACCGACUUAUAUCACUGAACAGUAGAUGCAUCAUAAUAAGAGACUGAAAAAAUGGCGAACAGAAAAAAGACUGCAGCAUUAUUCAAUGCUGUCUAUGAAAACAACAUAGGAGAAGUAAGAAGACUGCUGGAUCAAGGAGC